RNAcentral lists this transfer RNA (90 nucleotides) under Chromatiales bacterium. Its description in RNAcentral is "tRNA-Ser". It matches the Rfam family "tRNA". Rfam says of the family: Transfer RNA (tRNA) molecules are approximately 80 nucleotides in length. Their secondary structure includes four short double-helical elements and three loops (D, anti-codon, and T loops). Lineage: Bacteria; Pseudomonadati; Pseudomonadota; Gammaproteobacteria; Chromatiales. The record is from RNAcentral.
GGAGAGAUGCCGGAGCGGUCGAACGGGCUGGCCUGGAAAGUCAGUAUAGGCGCAAGCCUAUCGAGGGUUCGAAUCCCUCUCUCUCCGCCA